GCCGAUCCACAAAGGUAACACACAAUUUUGGUUUGAAACUCAAAAAGAGGGGAAAAAGAAAAAAUUGUACAGAGAAGAGAAAAAAGAAUAGAAAAGUGACGUAAAAUCAAGAGGGUACUUUUUUUGGAAAACAAAAUUAAAAUUAAACAAAAUCAAUUAAUUAAAAUUAAAAAAAGAACUAAAACUCCCAAAAAACUCCCCCACUAACAACACAAUCUCACAGAAUCCUACCCACUAACCUCAUCCAACUACCACAGAUUUUCAAUCUCACCAAACUUCUAAAACACAACCGGCACAUACUCACAAAAGCAAAAAUUAACAUGCUUCGUUCACAUGAGAGUUCAAACACAAGACCCUAAGACAAGCUAACACUUUACCACUUGAACCGGCAUGCUCAUUCUAAUAUGAGUUGACUGAAAGUAUUACAUAAGUCAAACCACUAGAAAUAAGGCUAGGAUAAAAAAUAGCAUAAUUUUCCAAAAAUGAGACUUGAACCCAAGACCUCAAACAUACAAUCAAAACACUUAACCACUAAAACAUAUACUUAUUAAUGCAAAAUUCAUAAAAACAAAGUUAAAUAAAUUAAGGCGUUAUAAUAAGUGGAAACAAGAAAAUUCCUCUAAAAAGGCCGAAACCUCAGUAUCACAUUGGCAUCGAGGUCAACGUGUGCUCCAAACGAACAGAAAAGUCCCUAAAAAAUAAAACACUACACAAAAUAACAUAAAACUAA
This 730-nucleotide long non-coding RNA is filed under the name Gossypium raimondii (Peruvian cotton). RNAcentral's name for it is "long non-coding RNA (GRAI_LNC002444)". The record is from RNAcentral. Lineage: Eukaryota; Viridiplantae; Streptophyta; Magnoliopsida; Malvales; Malvaceae.